AUGGUGAAUGCUGCUGAGCCUCUCGUUCUGGCCUGCGGGCCCCUCGUUCUGCCUUCCCCACCUGCGGGUGGUGUGUGGGUGGCAGGGGUGCGGAAACCGGCCCGGCCUCUGCUGUCCCCGUGCUUUUGCGCGCGGGGGGGGUCGGGGUCCUCUGACGUGGCGGGCAUCCCUCGCCGUCGCCCUGUCGUGGGCUCUGUGGCUGCGGAGCCUUGCCUCCGCGCGAGCCUGUGCGGUGCCCCUGGAGUGGUCCAGGUUGUGCCUCAGGCGCCUGAAGCCGAGUGGUGGUGUUGCUCCUGUCCCCCCAGCGCCCUCUCCCGGGUGUCGCUGCUGCGGCUGCCUCUGGCUGCUGCCUGUGCCCCUUGGGAGUCUUGGGGGGGUCGAGGCGGUAAGAGAAGGAGACACGUGUGUGCUUCGCCUCGCUUGGAGGGAGGCUGCCGGUGUCGUGCCGUCGUCCCCACGUGUGUGUGGGGUAUCGGCUUGGUGGGCGCAUGCCUGCGCGCUUGCCACCCUGCCCCCGUGGGGUGGUGUGUGCCAGGUGUGUCGAGCGGUCGCGGUGUGGUCCGGUCUGGCCGGACGAGUGCGGGGGCCGGGAGGGCUGUGGCGAAUGGGAUUGGUAAUGCGCCCAGCCUGCCCUUGCCCUGGCCGCGGAUGCUCGAGGUGCCGUUCUUCCUUAUACCGCAGACCCCCCUCGCCCGAUUGAUCGGUUCUCUCGGGUGGUGCUCCCUCGGCUUGCCUCCCUGCCGGCCCCGGCGGGGGGGGGGGCAGUUGGGGUGGGGUGUGGCCCCACCUUCGGUGAGGAACGCCUUCUCUAGCGAUCCGAGAGGGGCGUGCCUUCUGACGGGGUACCGUUAUCCCCCGGCCGCCGUCCCUCCUGUGCUGAGUGCGUUGGGUGGCGUACCCCACCCGUGCGCCCCGUUUGCCCCUUCUGUUGGGGGGAAGCGUAGGCGUGCUGGUGGGUCUGCCGGUCCCCGCGGUGGGGACCGGGGCGCUGCUCUUUCGGCCCUAAUGGCCGCGGCCCGCGCCUCCCCCCUCCGUGUCGGGGGAGGGUCCCGCCGGGCCGGGCUGGCGGUCCGUCGCUCUUUCUUCGUGUUGGGGACCGGCGCGCGUGCCCGUGUGCGCGCGUGCCUUCCGCGUCACUCUCCGUGUGUUGCCUUGUCGGCCGGGGCUUGGCGGGGGCGCGCGUGGUCCGUCCUGCGCGUCCCCGGGGCUGUGGCGCGAGCGGGCAGCUCUCAGCUUCCCCUGCUCGCCACCCCGGGCUGCGACUGGCCGUCGUCGGGCGGCGGUCGGCACGUGUGUUGGGCUGCGCCCAGCCCUCUCUUCCCCCUCGGCCCGCGUGGUCGCCCCUGGGGAGCGUUCCCUCGGGGUCGCGGUGCUUCUCCGGGCAUGGAGAUCCGGAUGGUUGGAUGGGCGGGAGAUGGCGCGAGGGCCGUCCGGUGUGUGCGGUUGUUGGCGCUGUCGCGUCGAGGCGCCCUGGCGGCGGGGCUCUUGGGUGUGCGUGGGAGAAGACGUGGGGGGUCGCCAGAGGCCGGCUCCGGUGUCCCAGGCGUCGCGGGACCGCCCUGGUGUGUGGCGGUGGGAUCCCGUGUCCGUUUCCCCGGCGGGUCCGGCUUUUGUGGCCCAAGGCGCUCCCUGCGUCCUCUCCCUCGUGCCUCCGGUGCCUCGCCCUCCGUGGCCCUGGUGCGGCCCCCACCCCCCCGGCCCCGGCCGGGGGGGUGGGCGCCGGCGGCUUUGGUGACUCUAGAUAACCUCGGGCCGAUCGCACGCCCUCCGUGGCGGCGACGACCCAUUCGAACGUCUGCCCUAUCAACUUUCGAUGGUAGUCGCCGUGCCUACCAUGGUGACCACGGGUGACGGGGAAUCAGGGUUCGAUUCCGGAGAGGGAGCCUGAGAAACGGCUACCACAUCCAAGGAAGGCAGCAGGCGCGCAAAUUACCCACUCCCGACCCGGGGAGGUAGUGACGAAAAAUAACAAUACAGGACUCUUUCGAGGCCCUGUAAUUGGAAUGAGUCCACUUUAAAUCCUUUAACGAGGAUCCAUUGGAGGGCAAGUCUGGUGCCAGCAGCCGCGGUAAUUCCAGCUCCAAUAGCGUAUAUUAAAGUUGCUGCAGUUAAAAAGCUCGUAGUUGGAUCUUGGGAGCGGGCGGGCGGUCCGCCGCGAGGCGAGCCACCGCCCGUCCCCGCCCCUUGCCUCUCGGCGCCCCCUCGAUGCUCUUAGCUGAGUGUCCCGCGGGGCCCGAAGCGUUUACUUUGAAAAAAUUAGAGUGUUCAAAGCAGGCCCGAGCCGCCUGGAUACCGCAGCUAGGAAUAAUGGAAUAGGACCGCGGUUCUAUUUUGUUGGUUUUCGGAACUGAGGCCAUGAUUAAGAGGGACGGCCGGGGGCAUUCGUAUUGCGCCGCUAGAGGUGAAAUUCUUGGACCGGCGCAAGACGGACCAGAGCGAAAGCAUUUGCCAAGAAUGUUUUCAUUAAUCAAGAACGAAAGUCGGAGGUUCGAAGACGAUCAGAUACCGUCGUAGUUCCGACCAUA
Molecule: long non-coding RNA, 2525 nt
Filed under: Oryctolagus cuniculus (rabbit)
Lineage: Eukaryota; Metazoa; Chordata; Mammalia; Lagomorpha; Leporidae
Description: lncRNA (ENSOCUG00000032298.1)
Rfam family: Eukaryotic small subunit ribosomal RNA (bases 1725-2525)
Source: RNAcentral